AUUGAACGCUGGCGGCAUGCUUUACACAUGCAAGUCGAACGGCAGCGCGGGCUUCGGCCUGGCGGCGAGUGGCGAACCGGUGAGUAAUGCAUCGGAACGUGCCCAGUAGUGGGGGAUAGCCCGGCGAAAGCCGGAUUAAUACCGCAUACGACCUGAGGGUGAAAGCGGGGGACCGAAAGGCCUCGCGCUAUUGGAGCGGCCGAUGUCGGAUUAGCUAGUUGGUGGGGUAAAGGCUUACCAAGGCGACGAUCCGUAGCUGGUCUGAGAGGACGACCAGCCACACUGGGACUGAGACACGGCCCAGACUCCUACGGGAGGCAGCAGUGGGGAAUUUUGGACAAUGGGGGCAACCCUGAUCCAGCCAUGCCGCGUGCGGGAAGAAGGCCUUCGGGUUGUAAACCGCUUUUGUUCGGGAAGAAAUCCUCUGGGCUAAUACCCCGGGGGGAUGACGGUACCGGAAGAAUAAGCACCGGCUAACUACGUG
RNAcentral lists this ribosomal RNA (484 nucleotides) under uncultured bacterium. Its description in RNAcentral is "partial 16S ribosomal RNA". It matches the Rfam family "Bacterial small subunit ribosomal RNA", at positions 28 to 507 of the family's 1533-position model. The record is from RNAcentral.